Long non-coding RNA from Pelmatolapia mariae (spotted tilapia), 2743 nucleotides. RefSeq lists it as uncharacterized. The transcript has 3 exons. The record is from RefSeq and is a predicted model, not a curated record. Lineage: Eukaryota; Metazoa; Chordata; Actinopteri; Cichliformes; Cichlidae.
GAGACUUCAGUCAAAGCAUUUAACUGAGGUGUGAAAAAUAAGCUGAACUCUACAGCUUGUUGUGGUCCCCUGUGGCUUGACAGCCUUCCAGCUGUUCUCCAGCAUUUUCAUUUACAGUCAUAAAAUAUCUCCACAUGUUGCUCCUCUUUCUCUCUCUCUGCAGUCCAAAUGCGUCUUCUGAGCGCAUCUGAGUCACGUGACGGCACAGUAACAAAUCCCAGCAGGGCAGGAAGAAGGGGGCGGAGCAAAGUGCGUCUGCCGCAUAAGAAGAGGUGUUCACACAGACAGAGCUGCUUUUUCAUCCACAGCGAGUAAAUAGUGAACCUCCAGGAGAGAAACAAACUAAAGUAUCGAUCAUAUACCACUACCAACGUUUGGAUCGAUAUCUGCAUCGAUCUGCACACCCUUGUCUCCUGGAUCGUAGCUGAGAUCAGCGUGAACCACGUGGGUCUCUGCUCCCUGACCUGUUUCCUCUGUUUGGAAAGAGUUCCAGCUUCAUCACGGAGUUUCUCUCGGUUUGUGGGCUCAUCUAAAGGACCAACGUGGAUCGAGAAGUCAGCGCUCUCAGGAGGCCGACAAUUUUGUUGAAGAAAGAAGUGGAAGAAAAAAAUACAACCGUGACGAGUUUGGGAAAGAUUUUACUGUGAAAGCUUCCCUAAAAAUGCAUCAAGUUAUCCACACCGGAGAGAGACCAUUCAGCUGUGGAGACUGUGGAGAGUCUUUUACCAGGUCUGGAAGCUUAAAAACACACAAACUCAUCCACACUGGAGAGAGACCAUUCAGCUGUGGAGACUGUGGAAAGUCUUUUACGCAGUCUAGAUACUUAAAAACACACCAACUAAUCCACACUGGAGAGAGACCCUUCAGCUGUGGAGACUGUGGAAAGUCUUUUACCCAGUCUGGAAACUUAAAAGAACACCAAUUAAUCCACACUGGAGAGAGACCGUACAGCUGUGACGAGUGUGGAAAGUCUUUUACCACGUCUGGAAACUUAAAAAGACACCAACUCCUCCACACUGGAGAGAGACCGUUCAGCUGUGACGAGUGUGGAAAGUCUUUUACCACGUCUGGACACUUAAAAACACACCAACUCCUCCACAGUGGACAGACACCGUUCAGCUGUGGAGACUGUGGAAAGUCUUUUACCCAGUCUGGAAGCUUAAAAAGACACCAACUAAUCCACACUGGAGAGAGGCCGUUCAGCUGUGGAGACUGUGGAAAGUCUUUUACCAUGUCUGGAAACUUAAAAUCACAUCAACUCAUCCACAGUGGAGUUAAAGCGUACACCUGUGAUCAGUGUGGCAGAGCUUUUACUCACAGUACCAGCUUACAGAGUCAUCUAGUUACCCACUCUGGAAUUAAGGCGUACAGCUGUGACUUUUGUGGAAAAACUUUCAGCUGGAUAGGGAGCCGAAAUACACACCUACGCAUUCACACCAGACAUGAUGUGUACAGCUGUGAUCAGUGUGGUAAACAGUUUACUACAAACACACAGUUACGACGUCACAUGUUUACCCACACUCAGGAACGACCUUAUAAAUGUGACCUGUGUGAGAAGACUUUUAAAUCUCCACGUUACCUGAGACGACACCAACAGAUCCACACCAGAAAGACUCUACAAGUGCAGUUACUGUGAGAAGCAGAGCGACACAGAUGGAUCAAGUUCUCAACCCUGUCAUCGCUGUGGGAAAGACUUUUGUUGUGACCUUUGUGGAAAAACUUUAAGUCAUUGAAGGACUCUGAAAAUACAUCAACGUAGACACACUGGAGACAAAAUGAACUACUGUAAAGAAUGCGGGAGAGGCUUCACCACUUCAAAGGACUUCAAACAAUAUGAACUCCUUCACAGUGGCGUUAAAAAGCAUGUCUGCGAUCAGUGUGGGUCAUCCUUCAUCAGUGCACGUCAGCUUGAAAAGCAUAAACGAGUCCACACAUGAGAGAAACCAUACAAGUGCAGACACUGUGACAAAACCUUUUCACAAUCAUGUGAUCAUACUAAGCAUGAGCGCAGACACAUGAAAGAGAACUUCAUCACGGCGCCCCCCGUGUGCGGCAGCCUGUUACAGCAGCUCUGCUCGGUCUGAGUUUCUUUCUUUCUUAUUUUUUUCUUCUUGUAAUUUUUUAUAACUAACGUAUUAGUAAUUAGAUAACAAAUUUCCCACGUGUGGGACUAAUAAAGGUUAUCUUAUCUGUGAAAGAGUUUGAGUAAUCUCAGUUCAUACUCCACUCAGAAACGAUUCCAUGUUACAAAUAAACGGUUACGUCUUGAUUCCUGCUUUUACGUUAAUCUUGUAAACAGUACAUUUCCAUAACGACUGAAACCGGCCCAAUGAAUGAACAAUGGGCUGUGAGGUCAAUUUCUUCAUCAUUAAUAUGCAAAUUCUUAUGAGCAUUGAUCAACAACCACUGGUCAAUGGCCAUGAGUACCAUUCACAGAGUAAAAAUUUGCAUAAUGAUUAUGAAGUUUACUGUUACCAAUGUUCAAAAACAUUUACUAAAUUAUCUUCUCUGUGCAAACAUCAGCGUGAUGCAGGACUGAAAUCAUUGCCAUCUCUGGAUCACAGUGAAUCUGCAGAGACAGAAAGAUCCUCUUCUGGUUUCAGCGUCAGACUUAAACCCUUGAGAUCAGGCUCCACAGAGUUCAGGUGGAGUCUUCUGUAAAGAUCUGAUGAGGCAGCUAUGAAUGAAAAUGUGCCUCUUAUUGCGUUUUAAGCUUUCUAAACUGUUCUACUGUAGUGUUUGU